UUUCUUUAUCUCUUCUGUGACACAUACUAUAGACCUUCUAAGCAUUUAUGGAGAAAAAGAGUGGGGCACCCUACCCUGGUUGGUCCACUGAAUAUACAGGCAUCCAUGGAAGAGUACUAUUUUUAAUCUCUUGUUCCUGAACCAUUUUUUUGCAACUAAAAUAACUGAUGAGAAGUCAGCAUAAUCCUUUCAUAGAUUUUAACAAAAAAGUGUGACAGGCUCAGCAUGGCUAUAAUCUUUUUACCAGGUUUCAAGAUCCACUUACCUCUAGACCUCUGGCCAUUUGCUUAAAAGAGGGUCCUGGCCACCACCAUCACUGCCUCAUUUCCUAAUAUCAUCUGCUGUUUUAGCCUCUCCCAAAAUGAGGGCCAGCCUGUGACACAGCUUCACCUCAGUCAUCAUGCAAGGAGUUGGAACAGGUCCAGCAUGCAGGCUCAACUUGACCUGCAGAAAUUUCUCCAUCACUUCUGGACUCAAGUAAAGAACCACUGAGGUGUGGGACCAGGCUUUGCUAGCAUCUGCUAGGAAGAGCACAACAGCAUCAGCCAGACACGUGGCCAUUAUAAUAUCUCCAUGGGACAAAUUUAUUAAUUAGAGGUAAGAAACAGGAUGAAUCUUCUACAUGUCUGAUAGAUCUCUCCAAGCUGAAGAAGUUCUGUAGGGCCUGCACGGAGACAUCCAACAUGGUGGAGUAGCAGCUGUGUUAACAUGUGAAGCUGUGGUCAGCUUGGUAAAACAUUUCCUGGCUUUGCUUUACCUUCAUUCUCUACAUCACUUAAUUUUCCCCCUAACUCUUUUUGAUCAAGAAUAAUACCCCCCAAUAUUUAGCAUGAAAGCUUUGUUUUAGGCACUGUGUCUAGGGAUAUGAGGUAAAGUUAACAUCAAAGGUUGUAUACCAUAAGUCAAAGGAGUUGGAGGAGUGGGUAGAGCAUAGAUGAUAGAUGUCAAGAAUGUUAAAUAUAGCAGAAAGUUAGGGAUGAGUAGCAACAGGACAUUGAAUAGGUUGAUUAGGAAUUCUUGAGUGACAUUUCAGAAUGCUGUUUUAGUGCACUAGAUAUCAAAGGAAGAAGGGAUUCGGUAUUAACCUAAAUUGCUUGUGAUUUUUAUAAAAAUCCCACAUUAUAUUAUUCAGGAAAACCAUUUCCACUGUAUUGCUCUUUCUUAAAUAGUAGAAAAUCGUAUUUUUUUCAUGAAAGUGAGACUUGCCAAAUUUGAAAAUGUAUAUAUGUAACUAGCUCAUCUACAGAUUAAUAUUUAGGAUUUCAUCAAAAGUAGAGAAACAAGGUUAAAUCACAUAUUUAUUUAAUAAGUAACACAUUUCUUGAUUCCCAAAAAAAAGACUAACAGAAGUUUAAUCAUUAUUCAAGUUUUAUUCAAAAUGUUUAAUAUUAAAUUAAAUCACUUUAAAAAAAAAUCAUUGAAAAUAAUGUCAUCGGCACAUAAUAAGAAGCAUGUUACUGCUCCUCUGAUGCAUGUUAAGGGUAGAACCAGUGAUGGUAGUAGCCAGUGCACAUGUAUCUGAGAGACUGACAUGUGAUGUAUAGUCUUUUCCACACAGUGCACAUGAGUUUGCAGCUGCAGCUGUUAUUUGCAGAGCCUGGCACUAUUUAUGCCUCUGCCUCAUGUUCUCUUCAGAGUCCUUGUUCUCAAACAGUCCCCAUCACUGAUUGCCAAAUGCCAGGUUGAACUGUCUGCUAUGCUGUUUUUUCCCAGCCACUCACAUCUCUAUCCUGUCUUUGAAGUUGUCCUUCAAUGUGCCUUGAACAAAUUCUCCCUUUAACCUCUUUUCUGUCAUGACACUUCAACUCAUCAUGUGACAGUUACCAGGUUAUCGUGAUAUCAUCUGUCCCCUGCACUUGUCCUGCCCACAUGCUUGGGCUAAAUGCAUCUUAUUUAAUAUUUAAUAUGGAAUAGCUGCUGUUUUUCUUCACAUAUAUUACUUUAUACUGUACAAAGUACUUUCAGGUAUAUUAUUAUCAUUAUUUUUUGUUUGUUUCUCACAAAUUUGUUAUACUAAGAGGGAACGUUAAGCUUUCUAACAUAUAUUAAAUAUGCAGCCAGACACUGUGGUAGGUAAUAUCUGUGUAGUAUGAUAUCACAUUAAAUUUAGUUUUCUCAAUAUAUUAUCUGCAACUUAACUAGUAAGGAGCCAAAAGAAUAAUGAGACUUACCUAAGUACAUGAAGGAAGGUGCUAGAACCCAGAUAUUUUGCCACAAACUUUGCUUGUCCACUACUCCAGCUUACCUUCUAUGUCCUGCAGGUGACUGCUUUAACAAGACAGCUAUAAAACCUGUAUCACUGAGUUCCAUAACAAUUGCAUGCCUUGUCUGUUGUAUUUAUUGACAAUACAUAAUUGUUAUCUGGGGAUAAAACUGUGUCCUUCUUUGAGUUUCAGAGUAUAGCGUAGUUAUCUUUUAUCUGUAGCACUCAUAAUGUACACAAUAAAUAUUUGGUGAGUAAAUUAAAACAUGACUAUGACACCUAGGACAAUACUUAGUAACAAUCUACAUCCUUUAUUUAGAAAGGUAACUUAAAGCUGCAUUCACAAUACAAUUUUUUUUAAAGACUAUAUUGAUCUCUAUUAGUAUGAGUUGAAUCAGGACACAGAAACCACCCAGUUAAGUUGAGAAGGGAAGGUGUACUGUGAAAAAUUAUUGACUAUAACAGGUGAUUGAAGUAAUGGCAUAUUCACUAGUAAGAAGGGAAAAAUCUAAGAACAUAGGAAGAACAAAUUAUAAGAGAAAGACUUUAUCCCUAGAAAGAGGCCCCUCCACACCCUGCCCAGGGCUCAGAUCAAGACCUUCCUGUAGAGGGCACAGUCUUGGCUCACUGGUGACAGAAAAGGCUUGUGGUGCCACUCCAACAGGACUAGCUGGAAAUCUGCCCUCUGGAACAUAUAGGAGAUCAGCCCUCUAGGAUACUGGUAAACAUAUUCACAGGGAAAUAUCUCACAAGAGGCACUCUGCAGCAAAACCUUCUAGAGGUGAUAGGGAAACUUCUGGAACCUGGGUGUCACUGCCUGCCAUGCACUGCUGGAGCUGUGCACUGGGGAAGUGGCAGGGGCCUGAGGCUGAAGACCACUCUCUCACUGUGAGAGUCCAGUGCUGGAACCAAACACUGCAGGGCCUUCCUAGUGCAAAUACCUAAACCAGAAAGCAAACCCUUUCUUCCUUCAUUGUCUCACCAUCGCCUUCUACUGACAAAGCUUAAUUGUGUGUAACUCCAGGGAAAGGAAAUCUGGGGGUAAAAUACCCAGCUGAAACCCAAAUCAGUCAAAGGUAGAAAUAAAGUUUAAAACCUGUUUAUUGCUUACAAAAAGCCAUGUGGUGUCUCUCUCUUUCCUGCCAUGGCACAAGCUAGUGAAUCCUUCUCCCAACCUCUCAGGUCCAGAUAAGCCCUCAGUGGCCCAGGUAAAUACCCAUUGAUAUGGAGAUGGACUACUUCUCCCCACCCCUUGGAAAUGCCUGUUGAUACGGAGAUGCACUAACUCCAGGAGAGAGAUUCUGGAAAUAUUGCAGUUUUACUCACAAUUGUGCCACCUGGCAAUGGACAAAACGGCCCAAAUCCAUUUUCAUAGAGCAGACAAACAGGGUGAAUUUGGAGCCAAGAUACAAUAAAUUAAUAAUUAGUACUGUCUUCCUUAUAUUUUAAAUUAUAAUCACAUUUUGUUAUGAUUGUACUUUUUACUAUUAAUAAAAGAAUGGUGAGAAAAAACUCUACUCUUAUGUCAGUCAAUAGAGUUUAUUCAAUAAAAUGAUAAAAAUGAAAAUUUAUACGAUUUGGAUUCAAGAAAACUUAGGUUUUUGACUACUAAGUGCUGGGUCUUUGACUUUAAACCAAUUAACCUCAUUGAAUCACAAAGCAUUUUUAUAAUGAAUAACAAUUUCUUCAUAGUUUGUGGAGAGAUUAAAAUUGAAUAAUCCUCAUAAAAUCCAUAUGUAAUCGAUAACACAUAAU
Molecule: long non-coding RNA, 3958 nt
Organism: Manis javanica (Malayan pangolin)
Lineage: Eukaryota; Metazoa; Chordata; Mammalia; Pholidota; Manidae
Source: RefSeq, a predicted model, not a curated record